RNAcentral lists this ribosomal RNA (499 nucleotides) under uncultured bacterium. RNAcentral describes it as "partial 16S ribosomal RNA". It matches the Rfam family "Bacterial small subunit ribosomal RNA", at positions 28 to 507 of the family's 1533-position model. The record is from RNAcentral.
GACAAACGCUGGCGGCGUGCCUAAUACAUGCAAGUCGAGCGAAGUUUUUCUGGUGCUUGCACCGGAAAAACUUAGCGGCGAACGGGUGAGUAACACGUAAAGAACCUGCCUCAUAGACUGGGACAACUAUUGGAAACGAUAGCUAAUACCGGAUAAUAGCAUUAACUGCAUGGUUGAUGUUUAAAAGUUGGUUUUGCUAACACUAUGAGAUGGCUUUGCGGUGCAUUAGCUAGUUGGUGGGGUAAAGGCCUACCAAGGCGACGAUGCAUAGCCGACCUGAGAGGGUGAUCGGCCACACUGGGACUGAGACACGGCCCAGACUCCUACGGGAGGCAGCAGUAGGGAAUCUUCCGCAAUGGGCGAAAGCCUGACGGAGCAACGCCGCGUGAGUGAAGAAGGAUUUCGGUUCGUAAAGCUCUGUUGUUAGGGAAGAAUGAGUGUGUAGUAACUAUACACAGUAGAGACGGUACCUAACCAGAAAGCCACGGCUAACUACGUG